CCCAUCUAUUAUGCCAAAAUUAAACUAAAAGCAUUUCCAUACCGGAAUCAAAGUGAUUUCAAAGGUCUGGAGAAAAAGUAGGCUGAGACAAGUAAUUUGUUUUGUUUAUUAUGGAAUGAUCAGUUCCACUUAAUGCAUGACUAAGACAUCGCUAAACUAAUUGGAAAUUUAUAGUAUGCACUUUCUACCGGGGAUUGAGAUGCCAUAGAUAACAUCAAUUUUCUGGAUCGAAAUCAUGACCUCUUUAUAUGAAUCUACACUGUCACAAGCAUAUAGCCCUACAACUAUUCGAACAUUAAUAUUCGUAAAUAAUCAAAAUUUCAUACUUUCAUCAACAGUUGUUUGGUUCUAUGCCACAAAACCAUCUUCUCACAUAAAAAAUGGUGAUUAAGCAACUCAUGCACUUUACAAAGAGUAUCAUCUGAAUAUAACACAACAAGAACUGAGAAAGAAUUAAAAAACGCGUGACCGGUAAUAAGAAUACAUAUUUUAAGCGGCAGCUUGCUUCUAACAAACUGAUGGAGUGUUUAUUCUUGGCGGUCUUAUUUAGUAAAAUCCAAGAGCAAAAUUUCAGAGAAUCUUAAUCUGUCUCUAAUGCCAUGACACGAAAAAGGCAGCAAAAGGGCUGCAUCAAUGGGUUGAUAUACUCAAAUGAAGAAUUAUCGACAUGUUGAGAAAGAAUGCAGCAGUCUUUGAUAGGAUUAAAACACCAAAGCAAUUUAAAGAAAAUUAAAGAGAGGAGAAAACUCUCCAAGAAUGAUGGCCUAGUAAUGAAAACACCAAAGCAAUUUAAAGAAAAUUAAAGAGAGGAGAAAACUCUCCAAGAAUGAUGGCCUAGUAAUGAAGUAGUCAUCCGCCACAUGAAGAACAGAUUAGCAGAGAAAAUGUUAUGACUGAAUCAGAUGUGAGGACUGAGAUUUUUGCGGCGCAGAUAAAUCCUUUGUUGAUGAUGUUUUUGUGUGUAAUUUAAUUACAUAAAUAUUCGUCAAGUUUCGGAAGAAAACGAGUUAGAAUAGAGAUUUUACGCAAUCUUUACUCUUCACUUAAAGUGAAUAGUAACCCGAAUUUCCGGAGAGGCCAAUGAGUAGAGAUGGCUUCUGGCGCGUAUUAGACUCCGUUCAUAGCGAUCCAAUAGCUCGUUUUUGACGAUUCGACUAUCCUGGACCCAAUGGCACUAACGGAUUUGGGUUUUGAUACACGGUUUUCAAGAAAAAGGGAGUUUAUUGGAUUUGCAUAUAUAUAUGUAUACGUGGUUUUUAAAAAGUUAGAGAAGGGAUGGCUUUCAUCACAAUUCGGCGACCAAUUCAAAUGAAACAAAAUUGUGAGUUCGAUGUCUCGGUAGUGCUGAACGUGCUGGAAUGAUCUGUUCGAAAAUCCGAUGGAUGGAUCGCCGGAUAUCACGUGAUUAUCGAGGUGAGGUCAAAAUGGAAUUUUUGUAUCUCGCGCGAAACCCCAUAUAUUUUAUGUACCGAAUCGCAUGAGAUCGGAUGUAGAGAUGCAUAUGCGCAUUUUACACGCGCUGUGAGGGACUCAAAUAAAAAUAAUGAGUGUUGGAGGACUAUUUUGCAAAAUGGCCAUAUUGUAUAUAUGGCAUCUAGGGUUUUCAAUUGGAAACCCUAACCCUAGAUGCCCUCCUCCCUCAGCCGAGCUCCCUGCCACCUUCAGCACCUCCCUCUACCCUAGCCGCGCAUGCCCCGGCCACCUGCGCAUGCCGCCAGCCGCCGGAGAGGCUGCUCCUCCCUCUCCUUCAUCAUCUCUACCACCUAGCCGCCACCACCUCUAUUCGAGAGCAACCCAGAGUGAUCACACUCUCGAGUUCCCUCCCCUGGCCGGCUGCCGCCGUCCCCGCGUGCCGCCAUUACCGCCUGAGCUCCCUGCGGCCGAGUUGGGUCAACCCGGGCCUGAGUUAGCUCUUGGCCCGUGCGCUGCCGCCACCUUGUGCCAUCUGUGCCACCCUUCCCCAACCCUUGGCGACAUCCCCGGUCGGUUGCCGCCGGCCCUGCCGGCCGCCGCAGCCACUCUUGGCAGCCUGGGGCCGCCCCAGGCUAAUGAGGGCCGAGGCUGGGACCUUCUUUUCUCUUCGCGCCGCCGCUGCCUAGUGUCGGCCCCCCCGCCUCCCUCUGACCUCCAACGACCCGUCGUCGUCGCCCGGAGCUUCCCCGGUCGUCGCCGUGUCUGUCGGGCUCGGGAUGCUCCGGCACCGCGAUCGCCGCCUCCCGCCGUCGGCUGGCGUGAACGCCGGCCUGCCAUGGUCGACCGCACUCGGUUGCCGCCGAUGCCCCCAUCGCCGAAGCCCCUGCCAGUCGGACUGGAGCCGAGCUCCCCACCACUUCGUGCGGCUAGGGCAUCAAUGCCCAUCGCCGUCGCCACCGCCACCUUCCGUCGCCGCCGCCGCCUUCCGUCGCCAGCCGACGUGCGCCUCGGCAUCCCUCCGUCGCCCGCACCCUCCUGUCGCUGGUGUGCCCAUCGCUCGGCCGCCGCUGGCCAUGCCCUAGCUCUCCCCUGGCCGGUAAGCUAAGUUAUGGCUAUUUCAUGCAUUGUUUAUGGUUCGGACCUCUAUUCCGGCGACCCGAGGCUAUUCCGAUGCCUCCGGAGGUGAGCACAGUGAUCUUUGUCCAGUGCUGAUCACAGUGCUUACCUCAUUUAGGGGAAACAAGUGCCAAACGAGCGAAUUAGAAGCGUUUUAGUUUCAGCGCGCAGGGUUCACUGAACUUCGAGUCGCUCCCGCGCCUCCCAUAGUGGGCGUUUGUGCUCCGGAUCGUGAGCAUGGCCUUCCGCACACCGAGAACUAUCAGCAGGUGUCUCGGCCGGGCAUGAAUGUCCUUGUUCUGCGCUGCCGGGUCGUAAAACCACAAAAAUUACAUAAAAUGAUGUGAUUUCAUGUUGUCGCAGGGGUUUUUAUGCAAUUGUAUGUUGCGUGGUUACUGUUGACAGCAUGUGCGGGCAGUGGGUGACCUCUGGACUGGUUGUCCCAGGCCCCAGGCCUUCUCAAAAAUCAGAUGUUAAUUUUCGGUGCGUUUUUCGGCGAAAUUCGCCGACGGAACGCGAUAUCGGUUCGGAAUUCUUCCAAUGGGGCCUCACGGUAUAUUGUGUAAUCACUGAGCCUUGUUGGCUAGUCACUCGCAUCGUUUCGAGGGUUCAAAAACAAUGGGUGAGUGAUGGUGGCUUCGAGUGUCUUAUUUGACAUUUUCAGGAACUCGGACCGGAACGAUUAUCCGACGAUAAUCGUUUCGAUGUGAGGAUGUGUGUUUACUGUCAUGUCACAUGAAUAGUUGAGUGUAGUGGCAGCGGAUGACUCGUAGAGCGAGUCGGUGAGCCUCGGGACAGUUCGUGGGUCCCGGCGGAGUCCCGGUGUGAUUUUUGGGACUUUCGGUGUGAUUACGGCAAUCGGUUUUGGAAAACCAAUUCCUAUAGGUUUAUUGGUGGGGAUUGUGAGUUAGUAGUUCAUGUUUGUGGGUUGGAUACUAACCCGAUGGACCCUUCUUAGGUCCGGUUGACUUUUUUCCGCAGUCGGGAGAUAAGUGCUACGUACGGACAUGUAGGUACUUCGACCCAAAGUCGGUACAGUGGUGCGCGCUCGGUGACAUUCCCUUUACUCUUUCCUUGUUGUCUAUCUUGCAUGUUCUAUGUUGAGCCUAGCACCUAUACCAUAUCUUCUUAUUGCACUACUUAGUUGGUUGCAUACCCAGUAUUAUGUUUUAGAAGUAGAGCUGUUUUGUGAUUAUUUGUGAGAUUUGUGACCUAGUCGGUCAGUGCGUUGCAUCUGGUAUUGUGACCUAGUCAGUCAGUGCGUUGUAUCUGGUAUUGUGACCUUGUUGGUCGGUUCUUUUAUCUCGUAUCUGUGACAUAUUCGGUCGGCUUACUACAUUGUUAUCGUGACCUAUUUGUCGGUUGGAUUAUUUGAUGACCUAUACGGUCGGUAUACCCUGAGGGGUCGAAUUGUCGGCUAAUGGCUGACGGUUAGUUCUGGAUUAUACCGAUGUAUGAUGUGACAUCUUUGUGACCUAUUGGUCGGUUCUGGUGUAUAUAGAUGUUAGUUGACAUUGAGUGGUCGAUACUUGCAUAUCUUCGAAAGGAUGUUGAGUUGUUUCAUCCUAGUUGACCUGAGUGGUCGGUACUUGUGUUCCUUACAGUUCGAUAACCUAUUAGUCAGUGUACCCAGAGGGGCGGUGAUUGUCGGCUAGCUGCCGACGGUUGGCUAUUGAGCAUAUCAGCAUCGAUCGCCACUGCUCGUGCACAUUUCACGAACGCCAGCGGUUUGGCCACCACAAGAGGGUGUUCUUUUCCGAAAAAGUGGUUGGGAGUGCCAGCCCGUGAGACCCGAGUGCUUUAUGCGAGGGUUAUAUACUUUCAGACCCGAGUGCUUUAUGCGAGGGUAAUAUACUUUCAGACCCGGGUGCUUUAUGCAAGGGUCAUAUGCUUUCAGACCCGGGUGCUUUAUGUGAGGGUCACAUACCUUUUAGACCCGGGUGCUUAUGCGAGGGUCAUUUACAGGUUAAAGCAGUUGUGGCACAAGCCUGAGGUCUACAGACCGAUAGGGCAAUUUCAGAUUGGGUAUUUUGGACUUGUCGUCCGGUUGAUGCAUAAAUACAGUAGCGGUAGUCGUUCAUUUAUACAUAUCUCAUUCAUUUAUUAUCGUUGCUACUGUAUUAUCCUUACCCAUGCCUUUGUUUAUUCUCCGUGACUGGUGAGUACCCCUCACCCUCGUCGGCUUGCAGUACCCACUGACAGAGGAGACAUGUGUACAUGUUCUCAUCCCCAAUCCCCAUUACAGGUGACGUCACGGGUCCUAGUAAGACGGUUCAUGAGGAGCGCACUUAGCGGUUUUGUAGAGCUUUCGGACCCGUCCAUUCGGUUUAAACUCUUGACCUGCUUUCCUUAAAUAAUGACUUAGGUUCAGUAUUUAAUGAUAAUUAAAUAAUUGGGAUUUCAUGAAUGUAAUAAAGGAUUUGUGAUUCUUGCAAACUGAAAUGGCUUUUCUACCCCUUGUAGUAGCGAGUUUUAAAAGGAAAGGUUUCCGUGUGGAAAACAAUUUUUAAAAGAAUUUUCUGGUUUUCCUGAUUAUUAGUAUUUCAAAACGAGUUUCCGGAUAGGAAACUUUUUAAACUGGUAGAUAUGGAUCUAUGAAUAAUUGUGAUGCAUUAUAAAUGUAAAUGUGAAUGGUGUAUGAAUAUGUGUAUAUUCAUAUGUGGUGGUUGUAUCCUAUAUUAUGUAUAUUGUACUUGUGCGACGCCGUGCAAAUAUAGGGGAGAUUCUGUCCGUAUGAACAGUGGACUCCCUAUAUUUGUGGUGGAUCUGGCAUACCCUAGGGGUCAGGUUUUCAAAAAAAAAAAAUUUGGGCACUUCCGCUUUGAAUUUAUAACAAAAAGGGACCCCGGGGCGUGACAUCAGAUAUCGAAGUACUCAUAUAAAGUCUUCUGCAAUAGGAAAGUAGCUACUAGUUAACUAUUUAUUUUGCAAAUGAUGGUGAAAACAAACAUAGUUGUCAAUCUAAAUAUCUAAUACACAUCCUAUCUAAUGCAAGCCGAUUGGAUUUCAUAGCUAUAUUGAACUACCCUAACGAUCUUCCACUUAGGUUGUGGCCGAAAACAAAUGAAAACAAAUGAAAAUUUAUCUUUUAUAUAUUUUUUUAUGAUCGGUCUACGGUGCACUGAGCGCAUCCAAAGUUUUUAUUGGACAUGUAGCAUCAUCUGAUUUGCUCACAUCGUAAUGACUAUCAUGGCAUCCUUAGCAGCUCGGAAGGACUUCUGUGUAUAGUUAUAGAUUGUCCCCAACAUGUUUUCAUAUUUUAGAAACGAUACAUGAUGGCAUUAAUAGUAAUAGUGUUAAAUGCAUUUUUUUUCCUCUAUAGACUGUGGCAACUAAUUGAAUCAAUGGUAACUUCAUAAGCAAAUAAAUUCAUAGAUAUACAAUAUACUUCUUUGUCUCAACUAAUGUUUUGAAAGAUUAGGGUUUUUUUUCCCAAUCAACCGACUAUUAUUUUAAAAGAACUGUAAAAUAUUUUCUUUAUAAUUUAAUAGUGCAUUUUUCAUUUUUAUUUGGAUCUAAGUUUAUGACAUUGGAAACUAUAUAGUUGGUGCCACAUGGGAGCAAAGAAUUAGACUUUACUCAUUUGUUAAAACAAAGUGACGUCAAUUAGUCAAAUAAAGUAGGAUAAAUUAUAAGAUGGGCCCUACUUUUGAAGAUGUGUUAUUUUUUUUUAGUCAGUUGAUCCCACUGAAUAUGUAGGUUUACCACUAGGAACGGUGCAUGCCAUGCCGUCCCGGUGCAAGCCGGUCAGAAAAAAAUAUCUGUGUGCCAAAACAUGAUGGCAUAAAUUAUUUGUUAGAAGGAAAAAAAAUGGAGAGAAAUGAAAUGGAGUGUGUUAGGCUUUGAAACUUUGAUGGUAAAGCCUCGUACUCAAAUCAAAUCAAACUUUAAUGUUGUGUUAAGGAAAACACGUUAAAUGCCAAUUAGAUAUUUUACACGAAAGGAAAAAAAAAAUUUGGCAAACAAUCAUUUGGAAAUAAUUACUACUAUUGAAUUUUUUUUUUUUUUUAAGAGAGAGAGAGAUAGGUAGCACGCUAUCCGCUUCGUUUAUUUUAUUUAAAAAUAAACUUAGCUAGAAAUGUGAAUCAACUAGGAUUCAAACUUGAGUUUCGGGUACCAACCAACAAGUCCUUUGCCACUUGCUCUAGGGACGGUCGGUAUUGAAUAAGUUUAGUUGAUUGGUAUUUUAUAAUCGAAACAUAUAUUUUCGGUUCAAGUUUUAUUUUAGAGCAAAAAAUUUGAGUCGUUCUUUAGUCUGUUGAUACCUCACGAACCCAGACAUAAAUUACUAGUUCAAAUUCUAUUUAGAGCGGGAAAAUAAGCGAAUACCGACGAAUAUCUUUUGAAACGCAAAAUAUAAAAUAUUAAAGAUUACUAAACAAGCUCUUACCAAAUGCGAUUAUUGUAUCCAAAAAGCUGAUACAUGUUCUUUAUUAUGCUUCAAAUAAAUCUAUUAUUAUAGAUUUGUCACUCGUCAGUUUCCUUCACAAAAAUCGUUUGAAAAAUAAAUAGGCACUAAAACGAAAAGGAUUAAAAUAAAAGCACGCAUUUUUCUCUCUUCCUUUCUAUGGUAUUAAUGUAAGGGCAUGUUUAGUUGGAGAAAUUUGAGAUUUGGAAUAGAAAUGAGAAUAAUUUAUUUUUAUUAUUGGUGUUUGGUUUAAAGUAUUAAUAUUUCGAUUUUCAUUUUGAAGGAAAUUGAAUCCCCAAAAUGGAUUUUCUUAUGAAGGUGGGAAUUUACUUUAAUUUUGGAAGCGACGGGGGCAACAGACCUUUUUUUUUCGCUAACAAUUAUUUAAAUUCAAAUAUAUCAUAUUUAAAUUGAGAUUAUAUUUUUUUUAUUUGAAUUUGAAUUAUGGAUUCAAAUUAUAAUUUUUAAUUUCUUAAGUUCAAGUCUAAAUUCUUGAGUUCGGUUUUAAAUUUAAAUUUUGAUUAUGAACUUGAAUUUGAAUUUAGAAUUAAAUUUCAAUUCAAAUUUUGAUUACAAAUUUAAAGAGUAAAUAAAUGUAAAUUCGAACCAAAAUUUCUCUUACGAGCCAAAGAAUUGAAAGUUGUUAUCAUUCCGUUUUCGAUUCUGAUAUAUUUUUCCAUUCCUAGUCUGAUUUCAAUAACUAUUUUGAACAAAAUGUACUCUAAUUUCUUACGAAAAUGGAGAGGAGCAACCAAAAGGAAAAAACAAAAGACAAAAAACAAUUACAGAACUCAUGAUUUUGAACAUUAAAGAGCAGCUCACAGUUGAUAAUGAUAAAAGGAAAUAAUGGAAUGAAACAGACACUACCCCCAACAAGAUAUAGAAUCACACAGAGAUGCUAAGAGUUAAGACAUGCCUGUUUCGUAAAAUAGGAUCCAGUAUUGCCAAAGCUAAAAUACACAGCAAAAUACUAGUUAGCCUCCAAUGGCAACAGAUUCAUAUCCAAUCAUACAGUUAUUACAAACAAAAGCCAUGGAGGAAUCUAUGAUAGAACAGGAGAAAAGAAAAGGAAAAAAAAGUACAUUUAGAAGGAUUUUAGUUCUGGGAUGGCAACCCGGCUGCUCCCGGAUUGUGCUGUUGUGCUGCAGGCUGCUGCUGGGAAGGUUGCGGCGGUGGCGGCGGAGCCAUCAUCGGCAUCGGCUGAUACGGAGGUCGAUAAUGUUGCGGGUACGGCAUGUACCCAUAAGGGUUGGUAUGGAACGGAGGAUACUGGCCUUGGAAAUGUGGAGCCUGCGGUGGUGGCAGUGGCGGGUAAGCAUGCCCAGAACUGCCUGGGGACCCUCUCACCGGCCCUGCUUUGUUACUGUCACCCUCAUGGGAGGGCACCAGCGCGCCCAUCCUCUGCGGGUCCAUCGAUGGGUACAAGGCCCGCUCCAUGGGGGGUGGGGCCGGAAUGUUAAAGUAAUGCCCAGGAGGAAGCUGCUGCUCUGUGCCGGGCGGGCGGAGCUGCUCGCCGCUCUGCUGCUGGGAGAUAACAGCCCUAGGAAGCAUCCCGCUGUGGGCAAUGAGCCCGCCUUGCUGUUGCCUUGCGGCCCCGUCUUCGCUCCCCUCCUCGGGCUUUGAAGGGGCCUGCACCUGCGGCCGCCCCCACAUGAGCUUGAGGCGGACACCCUUGAUGACCAGCUUGUUGGCCAGCUCUUCGGCGGCCCUUUCAGCGCCUUCUCGGGUGGUGUAGGUGACAAAGGCGCAGGCGCGCUGGAGGACCAUGCGGAUGGACUCGAUCUCGCCGUGGGCGUAGAACUGGUCCCUGAGGUCUUGCUCUGUGAUCCGUGCAUCAAGGCCACCGACGUACAGUGUGCGGAUGCUCUCAUCGUCUGGCGGGGUCAAAGACGGCAUCUCCCCAGCCUUGCUCAGCAGCUUCAGGGCAACAGGAUCGUUCACUCUGCACAAAAAUAGAAAGAAAGGGAAGAAGAUAAGUUUUUGAUACUUGAAGAAGACAAAUAUUUUCAAUCCUUAAAAACAAAGAAAAUGGAAGUGCUGGAGAAAAUAGAAAGUAUAAACCUUACUUUGCCUCACCGCAUGAUAGUUUAAAAAUUGACUACAAUUGAAUACAAGUUCUCCCAAGGGGAUAAUGUUACUUCCUUAGACUCAAGUUCUCUCACAAAGAUAAUAUUACUUACCGAGAUCUGGUCUAAUAGAUCUUGCAAAUCAAAAAUCCAACAAGACCCUCUUGGUUACAAAUGAAAUUUCAACUGCUAAGGAAAAGCAUUGUAGUGAUAUAAUUCCUAAACCACUAAAAAGUCCAACCCUUUAAAGGGGUGUUUGGCUCCUCGAAAAAAUGUGGAAAAGAAUUUUCCAAGAAAAAUGUUUUCUAUGGAAAAGCUAUUUUUCAGUUUUCAGUCUGUUUGCUUCCAAGGAAAAAUUAUUUGUGGAAAGCUUUUUGCCAAAUUUCAUAAAAAAUUACUCUUUUUGUUUUCUACAUUUUCUUGUAGUACAACGAAAAAGGCUAGUUUUCCAUGAAAUUUAGAAAGAAGCUUUUCAAGAAAGCAAGUUUUCCUUGAAACCAAACAGUCGGAAAACUGGAAAAUGGGUUUUCCAUGGAAUACUCUUUUCUCGAAAAUAGGUUUUCCAUACUUUUCUGAGCAACCAAAUAAACCCUAACCCAACAUUCAAAAUGUACUAUUCACUGGCAAGAUCCUUUUAUUACCCAGUUGAUCUCUUUAUGUAACCAAGCUCUUUCUCAACAUGUUGGUACUGCCUUACCAACAGGACCAACACUUACUAACCAACCUAAUCAACCUAAAGGGGUUACGCAUAUUUAUCAGAAUACAAAAUAUAUGAAUUAGAUCAAAUGAAACCUCAAAGCAAUACGCAAACUAUUCUUAAUAGAUUGGUGUUGUUUCUAACAGGUCCGAUUAAUUGGCAAAUUAAAAAUAAAGCAACACACAUAUAACAAACAAGACACAAUUCUCCAAUAAUUUCUAGCUGAUCAAAAAACACAACAUAUGUUGGAAAUAGAAGGGAACUUCAUAAUAAGCAUCACUCCACCAAGUCGAAAUGGAUAUUCAGUCGAUAAUGAUUCUAAUAACAAGUAGCAACACAAUAAGCAAACAAACAAUCCUCUUUGUAGAUAAAGGAAAAAAUAGGAACACAGGGAGAUACUGAUUUCUGAUACGUACCCACAGUAACGAUCUUUUAUGUUCUGCUGAGAUAAUUCCCCAGUUUCAGGCAUCUCAUGCCGAUAUGGACAUUCAGCACCACGCGUACACUCUCCGCGGACAUAGAAACUACAAACAUGUGCUCUAUUCCUCUUAUAAUAUGGUGUUGUCCUCUGAAGUUUUAAGAUAGUAUCAUUUGCCCGUACCUUACCAUAUGAAGACUCAUAAUCUAUGCCUGCUCUCGCCUGCGCAAAGAUAAUUGGCAACAAAAGAUUUGUCAACAAUAACUACUCCACAACUUCUUAAAGACUGCACUCUAAUAAAUUGAUGCUUAAAACAUUAUAUAUUUACAUGCCUGCCUUCAGAUACAGGUAAAUAACAUACAAAAUUCCAUGUCUAUAGAACAAAGCCUCUUUCGAAACUAUCAAGUACAUCUAACAAAAUUCCAUGUCUAUAGAACAAAGCCUCUUUCGAAACUAUCAAGUACAUCUAACCUUGAUGAAAACAUUAAUCUAGCAAUUAAGAAAACUCAAUGAACUCAAACUUCUUUGCCAUAAUAGAAAUCUCGAAGAACACUCCCGAUUUUCAGAAGAGGCUGAAGAAAUAGAAAGGUACCAUUAGAAAGGCAACAUAUUAAUAAAAUGUUUAUGAAAUCUUGACUAAACUCCUGUAAAAUAAAUCAAUCUAAACUAAAUUGAAAAGAAAAAAGAUCUGAAAUAAAUAAAUAUGUACUUGAGCUCCAAAAAAAAAAGGAUAAGAUAUGCCAUCAUAACAGAAACAUACCUAAUCAAUUAGAUAAUAUGCAAACAUUAGGCAUUAUACUAAAAGAAAGAUUCUAGUUAUACAUGCAAAAACAGGAAAAAAAAAAAAUUUAUUUUACCUCUUUGCAAGUAAAAUAAAAUUCAUAUGAUAUCAUAAAUCAACUACUUAAAACAAAUUAGUUAUAUCCUUUUUGCUAAAGAUAAAACUGAGAUCCAGCAAAGCACAUUCCAUAUAAAGGUGAUACAAGAUAAGAGAAUAAAACUAGAGCAGAUCUCGUACCUUGCGAUCAUGUUCUUCUGCAAAGUAUUCACGAUUCACAUCACUCCUCGGGAUAGCAUCAUUGGAAUUGAUAGCUAGAGCAGUAUCACGGACCUGAACCGGUAACCCGUAUUCUAGAUCCAAGAGGCAGACCUGGCACACAUUCUUCAGCUUACAGCAUGUCUGGCAGAUCUCCGUCUUUUUGUACCUUGCAUCACGCCCAGGUCUCCAGCGAAAGACUGUAAAUGGUCGGGAGCAGAUUUUGCAUUCCUUGUCAUAAUCUGCUCUUAGCUGAGUGAUCAAGGCACAGAAAAUAUGAAGAGGUCAUUAAUCCUUGACUGACAAGAAAACAACCUAUAACAACCUAUGAACUACAAAAUAGAAAAGUUAUGACCUAAAUAGUACCCAUGGAAGAGACAAAAAAAAUCCACAAGUUGAAUGGCAUUGAGAUAUGCCAGACGUGGCAUGUCCGAACAUUCUUAAAGAGAGCUUUAUUACUAAAGAACUUUAUGUUGACCCUCCUUUGAAUCCUAUGGGAUGACAUUAUUUUGACUAUUGAAUUGAACACCAAAAGAACUCCUAAGACAUUACAAGUACAGUUUCUGUGAUAUACACUAUGUAAAUAAGUUUGAUCUUGAAUAAUAUAACAGGGUCUGCCGCUGAAGUUCAUUGGCUCCUUGCAGUCUAGUUCUUCAAAAAAUUGCAGUCUAGUUCUUCAAAAAACAUGCCCAAGUUGUUGUCGUAAAACAAAUAAUAGUGCCCUAAGAUAUAAUAUUUUAUGAGCAUCAAAAUAUCUGUUUGUUCUUGUCCAAAUAACUCUUUUCCCCCCAUAUUUGGUUUGCAAGCCACAGAUAAUUCGAUUAAAGGCUCCUAGAUCUAAAAAUUUGAAUGGGCUCUUAAGGGAUACCGUACAAUGCAUAAUUGGUCAAAAGUGUGGGAAGUGUUCUUCUACAUCCUAUGCAAAAGAAGAUCCACACCAUUACAUAGCCAACUUAAUCAGUGCACAGACUCGAGUCUCAAUUAAAUAUCUUGACUUUUUUCUUUUCUAACGGUGAGGCCAUCUUUUUGGGAACUUCAUGUUUGACGAUUGAUUCGACAUGAGUAAAAUUGCCUAGUAAUGUCACAGUAGCACAAAAUAGUGUUUUUGAUCAGAAUAAUCUUAGUCUUGUAAGAAAAAACUCUUAAGCUGAAAAAAAAAGAAAAAACAUAAACCUUCAAGGGCCGAAUAAAUUAAAAAAGAAAAACAUAGCUCUAUUUUCUGAUAACACAUUAACACUACACCGUGCAUUGCUCGCCUCAUCCACUAAUUAACUCACUAUUAUCGAUUUGGCUUUGCUAACACAAAGUAAGGAAAUUCUAAUUGGUUUUUAGUAUUAUCCGGUUUCCAAUCCAAAAUCUAAAAACCGGUAUGUAAUUACAAUAAUUGGCGAUGUAGUUAACACAAUACACAACAUUCAGAUCUACACACAGUAAACUACAUCAAGAUUAGGCUUCCCACAGCUAGUGUUCCUCCACUGCGUCCCCUAAUCACACAAUUAUACGUAAAACUAGCUAUUUCAAACCAAAUCUACAAAAUCGACAGUGCAAAACCAAAACCAAGAUUAGCGUUUUGGAAAUUCCUACACUUAAAAGGAAAAAGGAAUCAAAGAUGAAGAGCGGGGGAUCCCUCACCAUGCGAACGUAGGGGUUGUCGCCAAGGCAUGACUCGCAGAUGAUGGGGAAAUCAGAGCGCUCCCACCCAUCGGCUUGUGCGUCCCUGAGCAAGCGAUGCGCCAUUGAUGGAGGAGAGGAGAAGGGGAAGGGGAAGGAGCAAGGGAAAGGGAAAACCCUAGAAGGGAUGGAUAGAGGGUCAACCCCGUUCAACUCUUUCGCACCCAAAAAAUAAAUAUAUAUAAAUAUAAAAAUUAAAAUAAAAAUAAAAAUUAGGGCAGGGAAAUGAGUCGGUGCCUCCCGAAACACGACUCACGUAGCGUUGUCAACGAGCCAAACACGAGCGAGGUGGAGCCAGCUCGAGAUCGCGGCUCGUUAGUGUUCAAGGGAGGCUCGUUAGUGUUCAAGGGCGGCUCGAGCUCGAAAAGUCCGGCUCGUUUUCGGCUCGCAUGUUAUGGGUUUCGCACCGAUCCCACGCGAUAUACCUAAAUCUCUGUAUAAAAAAAUAAAAAAAAAAAAAAAUCACAUCAAACUCUAAUUAGAAGUUCAAGAAAGAAAAUCCAUGGGAUUCUGCUCAAAAAAUCAUAAGAAAAAUUUAAAAAAAAAAUGAAGAAGAUUAAUGAAAGACGAAGAACGAACCUGUUGAAAGCGCCGCUGCCGGAGUUAGAUGGGGAUAUGCUGCUGGCGAAGAGUGCGCUGCCGGCGAAGAGUGCGAACGGUGGAAGACUGGAGAGCGUUGCCGGCGGGGUGUCUUCGGGCACAGAGACACUACAAAAAAAAAGGUUUUAGAAGCGGUCGAAACCGCUGGGAAAAGUCUCUAGAACCGCUGGAAAAAAAAUUUCCGACAUUUGUAAAACCGUCGGGAAAAGUUUUAUAACCGCUGUUAGAUCUCUGUCACUAAAGAUCUUUGUUGAUAGUUUACACAACCGUUGGCGAAGAUAAUAAUUUUAAUAACGCUUCUCCGACCGCUACUAAAUAUAGUAAAAAGUGCUACUAAAUAGAAUUUUCUACAGAAUUUGUAGAUGAUUUUAUCAUUAUUUCUUUCGUACUAAUCGAUGGUAAUAUUCAUGAAUAUCAAUUAAGUUCCAUAAGUAAAUUGAUCACAAAAUAAAAGAGCCAUUUUCCUUAUCCUGUAAAGCCUGCUAAAAUUAGGUCUGUUUGCGUAGUAUUUGUGUUCAAGUACUAUUCACAUAAUAGCAAUUAACAUGGAUCAUAAGCCUCGUCAUUUUGAAAGAAAAGUCUAAGGAGAUGAUGCACGCACAGGUAUAUACAGAAAAGUUGAAAUCAAUCACAACAUUGCGAAGAUUUAACUACAAGAACUACAGGAUAGAUGGAUCAAGACCAAAUAGACUUGCCAAAAAGAAUUUAUAUACCAAAACAAAAUCAGAUUGAGUUAUUAAAUACACAAUGAAUUCACAUUUUCUCCAUAGGGAAGAAAGUUAAAAAAAAAAAAAAAAUCAAAUGUGAGCUCACUAUGAAACACAGAUCAAAUUCACAAAGAACUCAUAUAAAGCUUGCAACUAGAUUCUGAAAACUGUACAUGGAAGUGGAACAUUUCAUUUGGAAAAAACAGAAUAAAUUUCAAUAUCAAAGCAUAUAUUUGUGAAGACUCGUGAUAUUACAACCUACAAAACAUCAACCUACCAAUGUUCAUGGGUCAACCGAUAAUCACGACCCACAUAUUCAACAACUACAAAAAAUCUAAUAUUUAGGGGAAAAAAUCACAAUAUAUGGAUAUCACCAACUUGUUGAAUACCAUGUCCUACGUGAGAAUGGACCCCCUCCUGCAAUGCUUGGGUGUAACUUGCUUCAUAUUAUCCUCUACUUGUGUUGUACUUUUCAUUAUUUUGUACUCUUCAUCUUUCUUUUUCUUUUUCUGUUUUUUUAUUUUUCUUAUUUUCCCAACUUGCAACUUUGUUUUUGAUUAAGAUUUGCAGAGCUGUGCUUAACCCUCCCUCUCUGUCCUUUCAAGCACUUCAAGAAUAACGCAGGACAAAGCAUGGACAACCAAAGGAAGGCAAAAUGAUACCAUGCAAACCAUAUUGGAUUCUAAACAACCUCUAAGCAAUCCUAGAUGAUUAUGUCCACCAUCUAACAAAUCCAAUCACCCCCGAUCACAAGAAAAGAGCUCACCUCCACUAUUGCUAGUUUAGUUUGGUUUAUUCGAUUUGAAUAGACCUUUCUUUCUAUAGGCUUAACAUUAGGGUAUAGUAUUGUGCGGGAAAGUACUAUUUUAGUAGUUUGAGUAUCGGUCAGUUCAGUUCAAUUUUUAGGUUUUUCUUUUUACAAAACUAAACUGAGUCAAAUUAGAAACAAAAGCCAAGCGAAUUGAAUCGAAAUAGUUCCGUGAGUUUAGUUUGGUUAAUUUAUUUGUUUGAAUAGGACCUUAGUUUUUGGAUUAAAGCAUGUUAAACUACUUAAAAAGUAUAUAAAUAUGAUUAAUUAACAACCUAGAAGUCCAGCAUCCAAGGGCAUUUUCCAACAUUACAAACAACAACAAAUUCUAACAAAUGAAAAUUUACUACCUAGACCUUUGACUCUAUUGACUUCUACAAGCUACAUUAUCGUAAAAGUAAUAUUUUAGAGUCAACCGAAGGCCAAAACAAUCAGUAAUGCUUUAUAAACAAACUAAUAGUUUGCACAACAUUUCUAUUGCAAAUUUUCUCACAGCUAAAGAGCAACCUGUGAAACACGCAGUGUGGACAUGAAUCAACAAUGAAGAACAAACUAUGUAAGUAAACUAAAAACUAAAAGAUACGAAAAUAUAUCAAUAUGAACGAUCCUCAGAGCAAUAAAGUAACAUAAUCUCAACAAAGCAAUAUUUUCAUAUAAUUUUAAGAGACAAAUUGGAUUACUAGUAUCUUAAAAAAGUCCAUAUUCAAUAGAAAAGGCUAAGUAACUCUUGUGAAGCAUGAGGUCAAAGUAGAAGGUUUCAGGGUUUGGACUAAUUAUUAGUUAAGUAGAAUUAAAAAAAAAUGCAUGAAACUACACAGAAUUUGAGAAGAAAGUUUUAAAAUUAAGGUCGAAGUAGAGAAUCAGAUUAAAACAAUGCGUAGCAACCUACCAUACUGGAGUAAAUAAUAAUUUAUUCGGCCUAAACGAUCAGUCUUUAAAUAUUUAAGUUCAAUUAUUAAUAUUAAUACUAAUAUGUCAAUCUCAUAUAUAAGACUCUGCAUACUCUCCCUUAUUACAAAUAGCUUCACCGGUUGUAACUAUAGAUCACAUAAUAAACUUAUGGACAAACUAACUCUAUAAAUUGUGCAUGAUGAUGUGCAUUAGCGUCCAAAAAGAUGGGAAAAAAAAAGAUGCAUAUAUAAGUUUAGUUAGUAUCAUGUGAUUUUCUUAAAUAAUGUGAGGAUGUAAAUAUAGUACUAAAGUUUAAGAACGCAUAAACGAGAAUUAAUGCAGCACCUUAGAGAGAAGGCAAAGUAGUGACUCUGUUUGGUUCUCAAGAAACGAAUCGCCUACAAACGCCCAAGCUUUAUUUCGCAUUAAAUCCAAGAAUUUCCCUGCAUCAAAUUUGGGUAAUUCACAAUAAAAUAAAUUAGCUUGCAGAUUAGAAGUUCAUCAUAAGCAUAACUAUCUAUUAUUGACAAAGCAAAAUUUAGCCAAAAAAUUCAUUCAAAAAUAGAUAAAUUACAAAAAUAGUCCUUAAAAUAGUAUAGAAUUACACUUUAAUUCUCAAAUUUUAAAUUAAUCUAUCAGGAUCUAUCAGAUAUAAGCACAAAACAUCAAAUAACAUGGAAACUGAAGCCCUAAAUGGUGCAAAAGCAAAUCCGAUCGCCCCUGAUCACACAAAGAGAGCUCACCUACGCCACUGGGCAAUCGAAACCCCCAAUCCAAGCGAUCACUCUCUCUCUCUAUGUUGGGGUCAAGGCGAGUAGUACCAAAUCCGAACAACUAAUUCCAAAUCAGAGCAGAUAGGAGCCUAAUAAACAUAAAAAACAGAGAAAAUCAACCAAAAAUUGCAUCAAAAAUACUGAUAUAAAGCCAAAUAUCAAACUCUCUAAGCCAUUCCUAGUACCAAGCGAUUACUACUACCUCUCUUGUCCCGCAGGUUGGUGCGGUGUCGGAGAGGGAGAUCGGAGUCGGAGAGGGAGAGAGACUGUUGAAGCUGUAAUCAGAAAUUAGUUGUAAUUUUAUAAGUUCACUAUCAUUUUAUAACUUUUUUUUAUUCUAAUACUAGAAUCCAUAUUUUACAUGUUCGUAUAAGUAGUAUUUUUUUAACAAAAUUAAGACUUCUCUAUACAUAGGUUUUUAAAUUCUAUAAAUUAAGUCAGUUUAAAUUUUUAACUCUAAAAUACUAAUUAAUAUAAACUAUUAUCCAAAUAUAUGAAUUCUAUAAUUUUUUAGCCCAAUGCCACCCACUAAUCUAUUAAACUAUAUGAAUCCCCAGUAGCUUUUGCCACGUGGCAAUUUUUCCUUCACUUUCACUAAUCUUCUUUUAAACCAAUCUCUAAAUCUCUAAACCAAACCGCCUCAACGUUUCCCCUCCCCUCUUCGAGUUAUUUUUUCCUCCCUUCCAUUGCAAUUUUUUCAUUAAUGAAGCAAAUAUAUAAGCAAUGAACUUUUCUAUUUUCAUAAAUGAAGCAAUGAACCGUACGUUGCAAUAUUUUCAUUAAUGAAGCAAAUAUAUAAGCAAUGAACAGAGUUAUUCGUGUCCCUACGACUAUUCCUUUUCCUUACAUUUCCCCACCUUCCGUUUUUACAUUUUUGCUGCUGCUAGGAAUCCCAAAAGGGAGAUCGCAGGAAAGAUCCCCAACUCUCAUUCCAUCUCUGUCGCCGAUCCUCUUGCUACCGCCUCUGUCGUUGUACUUUCCAGAGGGUCUAAAGCUCUUAUCUUUGAUCGAAAAUAUGUCCGAUCGAGACGAUGUGCAGCCAUGGAAGGCGGGAUCUUCAGAAUAGAACUGGUGGUACUCUCCGCCCUGCCGAUAAUGGCUUGCAGAAAGAAAACACCGCAAAUGAUGAGGAUACGGAUAAAUCGAAACCGAAAAUGGCUUCAGAUUUGGCUGAAAAACCUCAAAUCUGAGAGAAGUUUCUGCAACGGACAACAAUAGCGGUGGCGGCGAAGGCGACGCCGAGCACUGCCCCACCACAAUCAUCGUCUCUGAACUCCCUUACUCAUUCAAGUCCUCACAGGUUCUUCCUUUGCCCAAUUCAUCUUCUUCUUCGACAAUUUUCACAAAUUAGGGUUUCGCUAUGAUGGUGAAAUGAGGGAGAUUUGAUUGCUUUUGUUUUCAUCGGUGUAUUUAGUUGGAGGAGGUUUUUACUUUUUACCAAGCAGGGUCCUCUGAGGCGCUGCUUCCUGGGUACUCAAAAGGGUAAGUAACUCAGAUUGUUGGUGAUUUUGUCGUCUAAUUUUUAUACAAGACAGAAGAUUUUCUUUUAUUUCUUUCUUUAUGUUGGAAUUUGUGUUGUUAUUUAUAUGAAAAUUUGCUUCUUUCAUUUGAAGUGCCACAAUGAUUUACUGAGUUUCCAAUUUAUUAGUUAUUUUAAUAAUUUGUUUUUUUUUGUGUCUGUUUGCAAUUCAAGCUCCGAAGUAAGCCAUGGUUUUGGCUUCGUCAAUUAUGAGUAUGAUGAUUUCUUCUUUAUUUCUCUUUAGCCUUGAUAGUAUAAAAAAAAAAGAAAAAUAAUGUAUAUAAAGAAAUAUAAAUAAAGUUUACUUAAAAAUUAGAAAAAGAGAGUGUAAGAGAAUUGUAAGAACUAGCAAUUAUUUUAUAAAAAAAAGUAUGACAAAGAAUUAGCAAUUAUUUUAUAAGUUAAAUUAUUUUAGAGCUCUUAUAUAAUCCCUACUCCCACACGCUUGAUCGCUCCUUCCUCAGGAAAAGGGAAGAACUAUAUAUAACUCUAAAAUGAGUGUAUGGUUUAUAUAAAAAAUUUUAAGCCUUUAAUUAUUUUUUUAAUAAAUGUAACUUAAUUGUGCUAAUAUAUUCAUGCGUUUUCUUUUCUAGCUUCAUGGAAUAUGAAAAUAUGCCUUAUUUUGAUUUUUUUUUUUUUGAAUUGUAUAUCUUUGUAUGCUAUAUGGAAUUAUAUUUGGGAGUUUUUCUCCUUUAUAUUUUAUUGAUACUGCAUUUGAUAUUUUAUUCUCUAUAAAUUUUUAAUUCUAUAAUAGUUAUCCGCAGCAACGCGCGGGUCCCUCCACUAGUAAUGCUGAAGCUCGAAUCUAAUGUGGUCCAAGAUACGCUAGACCCAAUUAGCAUUAAUACAUUUUCCGUUGCUUUUCUCAGUACCUUUGAAAAUUUUUUAAAAAGAAGAAAAGUAUAAAAAAAAAUCCUCAAUCAUUAUAUUGCUAUAUACCGACAGUUUAGAAUUACUACAAUAAUUAGUUAAAACCACUGCAAAAAUAUAUUUUUGUCAACGUUUGUAUUAAGUGUUAAAAAAAUAACUGUCGCCACAAAUCGACUUUUUUUGUAGUGAGAGAGAGAGAGAGAGGCGGAUGUGUGUGUGAGGUGUUAAAAGUUGAUGCAAUAUUUUUAUCCUGCAGAUUUUGAACCAACGGUUGAAAUUCUAAAUAUAAAUAAGCCUCUUUACUUCUAAAUAAGUUGGGCUUUAUUUUUAAGUUGGACUAAAAAAUUUAAAAAUAAUAAUAUGUUUAUAUAUUUAUAUACAAAUAUAAUUAUAUAUUUAAAUAUAUAUAUAUAUAUAUAAUAUAUAAAAAUUAUAUUAAUGUAAAAUAAAUGUUAUCGAGUUGUUAUCGAGCCCAACAAAAGCGAGUUGACCCUAGCUCGUAUUUGACUCGUUUAUUAAACGAGCUGGAAAAUUCAACUCGUGUUCGGCUCAUUUACUAAACGAUCGAGUCAAUCUCGAGCUCAUUUCGAGCUGAACACAAGCUGGCUCAUGAACGGCAAGUUGGAUUGCCAACCCUACGCCCAAGUAGCUCUUCCGUCAAGAAAAUAUUAAUUGCUCAUUGCUCACUAACUCUUACCUAUUUUUACUUUGAUCUUUAACCUUUAUUUUUAGGGAAAUGCUAAGUCUACAAGACUACAAUCCAGAGUUGUAAUCUUUACAACUCCUAAUCUAAUCAAUAAUUCUUUUUGAGUUUUCAUUAAAAAAAAAUGGAUAGUCUUUAGCUGGGAUCGUAAACCUAGCAAUAAUAUUUUAAAAAUCGGAUCGAAUAGUGAUCCAAAAAUAUUAUUGCGUUAAGGUCACUGGUUCCACCAAUAGGUCAACAACUGGUUGAACCAGUAACAUCAGCAUGACUUCAUAAAAGACUGCUAUAAAACCAAUUUAAAUAGAUAUAAAGUUUAUGUGUGUUCCAAUUGAUGUUAUACUUAAUAGCAUAUUUUCUAUAUGUGUUUCGCCAAGGAAAAUGAACGAACAAAAACUACAAGCCAUGCAAGUACAAGAAUUCCAUUACAAUUAACCUUGAAAUCUAGGAUUUUUUAUUUAUGUCCAUGAAGUAUCAAAUAACACAGAAAUUUCUAUCAGUUGCAAUAUUUUCAUAGUUAGAAGCUAAAGAUGCAAAUGAUUCAUCACCUCGCACUCUCUCUCUCUCAUGAAAAAUAUCCACAUUCAAUUUACAUAUUCACAUAUAGAAUCUCUGCACAGUUUAAGAUCAGCACUAAUGAAAUAUUUCGCUAGAGAAUUCGAUGAGCCUAGAUCAGUUUCCUGCACCACUGAAUUCGGAGGCAAGUAGCCGCCUCUUCAGAGACUCAUUCUCUUUCCGGAGUUUUAUGAUCUUUUGCUUCAGUGUCUCGACAUGAUGAAUAGAAACAGAAUCCUUCAGUUGCUCUACCUGCCUAAAUUUCAUGAGUUUUACUACCAAAAAAAGGAGACAUUUGCAGUAAAAUUAGGGCAAGUCAGUCGCAAGGAACCAAGCUAAAGAGGAUAAUUCAGACUGUACCCAAAAAACGAUCACAUUACAAAAACUUUGAUGUAAGUUCUUAUCCCAUCUAUUAUGCUAAAAUUAAACUAAAAGCAUUUCCAUACCGGAAUCGAAGUGAUCUCAAAGGUCUGGAGAAAAAGUAGGCUGAGACAAGUAAUUUGUUUUGUUUAUUAUGGAAUGAUCAGUUCCACUUAAUGCAUGACUAAGACAUCGGUAAACUAAUUGGAAAUUAUAGUAUGCACUUUCUACCAGGGAUUGAGAUGCCAUAGAUAACAUCAAUUUUCUGGAUCGAAAUCAUGACCUCUUUAUAUGAAUCCACACUGUCACAAGCAUAUAGCCC
This 20930-nucleotide long non-coding RNA is filed under the name Ananas comosus (pineapple). RNAcentral describes it as "long non-coding RNA (ACOM_LNC023215)". Lineage: Eukaryota; Viridiplantae; Streptophyta; Magnoliopsida; Poales; Bromeliaceae. The record is from RNAcentral.